Molecule: microRNA, 20 nt
Filed under: Corchorus capsularis
Lineage: Eukaryota; Viridiplantae; Streptophyta; Magnoliopsida; Malvales; Malvaceae
Description: sRNA CCACVL1_06507
Source: RNAcentral
GGUUGUAAUUUUUUUUUUGU